UAGUUAAUUACAACCCAUAGUACAAGGCUCAGAGAAACAAAAAAAUGAAAAAGAAUACAUCAAGUAUAUCAAAAGGUACAAUCUUCCAAAGCAAAAGCUUGAGGGUUUUGAAGGCACCAUUCCUCCCACAGAAAAUCUACCCCACUAAUCUGUUUCACCACUCCACCGUUCUCAAUCUUACCAUCCAAAAAUUGGGAUUUUAAAAGACUCUUUCAGGAGAAAAGAGUUCUAGAAGAGUUCUUUUAAAAUCCAGACCAUUGAUUGCUGAGACGGAUGAACGCUGCAGUGGGGUAGCACCGCAGUUCUUUUCGUCGAUGUAUCAAAAAAAUACUUCACUAGCAAAACUAAGUAUAAAGAAACCAAAAAAUAAUGUAUUUGCAAACCUUACUGAUACAGUUCUGUAAUACAAAAGCAUCAAGUGUGAACCAUAUGAAACUACAAUUCCUAAAAAUGGAUUUUGUUAGCGGACUGUCUAUAUAUAUAUCAACACUAAUGAAAAGGAGAUCAUCUGCCACAUUCCCUGCACUGUAAACUCUAAUUUAGUUCUUACGAGAAAUCGACCAUUGAUCACUUCCCCCCUUUCUAUUUGAGAGAUACUAAUAAGGUUGUUAGAUAAACAAGGGCAUUCAGCGUCGAAAAGACCCAACUUGUUAAGGGCAUGUUUGCGAUUGUCUCGUCAUAUAUCUUAAGCUCUUUAGUUUAUGAU
This is a long non-coding RNA of Rhododendron vialii, 706 nucleotides long. RefSeq lists it as uncharacterized. The transcript is spliced from 2 exons. The record is from RefSeq and is a predicted model, not a curated record. NCBI's taxonomy places the organism in Eukaryota, Viridiplantae, Streptophyta, Magnoliopsida, Ericales, Ericaceae.